This 476-nucleotide ribosomal RNA is filed under the name uncultured bacterium. RNAcentral describes it as "partial 16S ribosomal RNA". It matches the Rfam family "Bacterial small subunit ribosomal RNA", at positions 29 to 523 of the family's 1533-position model. The record is from RNAcentral.
AGUGAACGCUGGCGGCGUGCCUAACACAUGCAAGUCGAACGAUGAUGGAGAGCUUGCUCUCCUGAUCAGUGGCGCACGGGUGAGUAUACCAUAGAUAAUGUACCCCUUAGUUCGGGAUAGCCACUGGAAACGGUGAUUAAUACCGGAUACUCCUUCUCAUUAUAAGAUGAGUCGGGAAAGUUUUUUCGCUAAGGGAUCAGUCUAUGUCCUAUCAGCUAGUUGGUGAGGUAAUGGCUCACCAAGGCUAUGACGGGUAUCUGGUUUGAGAGGAUGAUCAGACACACUGGAACUGAGACACGGUCCAGACUCCUACGGGAGGCAGCAGUGAGGAAUAUUGCACAAUGGAGGAAACUCUGAUGCAGCAACGCCGCGUGGAGGACGACGCAUUUCGGUGUGUAAACUCCUUUUAAGAGGGAAGAUUAUGACGGUACCUCUUGAAUAAGCACCGGCUAACUCCGUGCCAGCAGCCGCCGUAA